CAUGCUUGAGGGACAGACAGACAGAUCUAUGCACACAUGUGUGACCUGUAACUCUCUUACUAUAGAUCAUGUUUUUAAAUGAUAUAAGAGAGGAAAGACAAGGAAAUGGGAAAACAGGUUUCAGGAUUUCUCAUGAUGUUCUGUAACUGGAUCCUGAUCUAAAGCACACAAGUUGACCGAUACUGCAGAGAGAUAACAUCAUCCAAUGCUCACGACACACCUGCAGUCACAGACACAACGCUGGGGCCCGUUUCUUCAAAAGCUUUCAUUCCAGCACGCUAGCAACAGUCAGAAUUGAUGUGCGUCGGAGUUGACUCAAAAGAACACUAGAAUGAAAGCAGGAUGGGAACUCCACUGGAGUUAGAACAAGCGUUUCUCAGUCGGAUGGAGCUACUGUACAAGUCACGACAUGUGUGAGACGACAUUUCACAGAAAAGCUGGAGCGUUCCCAAUGACUGAAUGCAGCGAGACGGAUGAGGUCACCACAGCGCGCCAGAUCGGAGACAAAACAUUGUGACGGAGAUUAAAAUCCGCCAUCUACAAGGCUGCGGUGAAGCUCUGGAGUCUCAAAAACACACAUAGGAUAAGAGGAAAGCCACCACACCUGCCAGCUGUAAUAUCCUGUUAGAAGGAAAAACUUUCCCCUGUUUCCCUGAAGGCAAGAUCUCAGUCCAGACCCCCAUCCAAGACUCCCAUCAUCACACAAACACAACAUGGGCUUCAGACAAACAACAUUUCCUGUAAACAAGGAGCUGAUCCAAUUUGCGGUGCUGUUGCAGUGAAGGCGGUUAGUGGGUGGUCUGUAUCACUGAUGCAUCAAGACAUUUCAAUGAGACACAAAUGCAUCAGAGAGGAUGGUCCUGUUCCCGUAAACAUGCGGCGGGGAGGCGUCUGUGAUUGCUCACGUCUAAUUUGUGUUUCUCGUUAACCAUUACUCCUGCUCUAUUCCCCUGUCAUACAGAGUACAUCCGGGGGGUUCAAGAGCCUGUCAUCUGUGGGUGAAGCUCACCAAAAUUGUCAAGAACAGCACCCCCAACCGAUCAUCACCGAUCCUCCACCUGAUCGUACAAGGUUAUCCUGGAAGAAAACUUGCUUCCUUCUGCUCCGACAAUGUUCCACAUCUCUGAGGAUUGGUUUUUCCAGCAGGACAAUGCUCCAUGCCACACAGCCAGCUCAAUCAAGGUGUGAAUGGAGGACCACCAGAUCAAGACCCUGUCAUGUCCAGCCCAAUCUCCAGACUUGAACCCCAUUGAAAACCUCUGGAGUGUGAUCAAGAGGAAGAUGGAUGGCCACAAGCCAUCAAACAAAGCCAAGCUGCUUGAAUUUUUGCACCAGGAGUGGCAUAAAGUCACCCAACAGCAAUGUGAAAGACUGGUAGAGAGCAUGCCAAGAUGCAUGAAAGCUGUGAUUGAAAAUCAGGGUUAUUCCACCAAAUAUUGAUUUCUGAACUCUUCCCAAGUUAAAACAUUAGUAUUGUGUUGUUUAAAAAUGAAUAUGAACUUGUUUUCUUUGCAUUAUUCGAGGUCUGAAAACAUGGCAUCUUUUCUGUUAUUUUGAGCAGUUGUCAUUUUCUGCAAAUAAAUGCUCUAAAUGACAUUAUUUUUAUUUGGAAUUUGGGGAGAAAUGUUGUCAGUACUUUAUAGAAUAAAACAAAAAUGUUCAUUUUACUCAAACACACACCUAUAAAUAGUAAAUCCAGAGAAACUGAUAAUUUUGCAGUGGUCUCUUUUUUUUUUUAUUUAUUUUUUAUCCCCUUUUCUCCCCAAUUUGGAAUGCCCAAUUCCCACUACUUAGUAGGUCCUCGUGGUGGUGCGGUUACUCACCUCAGUCCGGGUGGAGGAGGACAAGUCUCAGUUGCCUCCACUUCUGAGACCGUCAAUCCGUGCAUCUUAUCACGUGACUCAUUGUGCAUGACACCGCGGAGACUCACAGCAUGUGGAGGCUCAUGCUACUCUCCACGAUCCACACACAACUUACCACACGCCCCAUUGAGAGCGAGAACCACUAAUCACGACCACGAGGAGGUUACCCCAUGUGACUCUACCCUCCCUAGCAACCGGGCCAAUUUGGUUGCUUAGGAGACCUGGCUGGAGUCACUCAGCACACCCUGGAUUCAAACUCACGACUCCAGGUGCGAUAAUUUGUAGUGGUCUCUUAAUUUUUUCCAGAGCUGUAUAUAUUGUAUUGAUUUGGGGUUAAAUGUGAGCAGGACAUUUUCUUGACAGAUUCCAUGAGAAUCACCCACACCUUUAUUGUCUAAUAAUCUAAAUAAAUGGGAAUCGAGAGAUUCAGUGAUGUGCAGUAUUUCAGUGAGACUCACAAGUGAGAGCGUGUGUGUCUGUAUUUAUCAGUCUGGCUUAGAAGCAGCUGCAGAUUAGAAGAAGUUUAAGUGUGUUUCAUGAGUCACUUUCAUUGUGGCAUCCAGGAAAAUGUUAAAUCCUUAAAUCUGCUUAAGUCACUGAAACAAACAGCCUCGAAUCUCAACUCCAACUCAAUUUUAUUUAUAGAGCACUUUCAAAAACCACACUGGCUACCAAAGUGCUGUACAUGGAGUUAAAAGAAAUAAAAAUCACAUACAUACAGCUUAAGAAUACAACAAGCAUUUAAAACCGGCAAAGACAAGAUAAGAGAAAUUGACGUAGUACAAUUUAUAACGCAAUUAAUUAAAAGCUAGGGAAAAUAAAUACAUUUUUAAGGCCCCCUGGAAAGACACUAGAGACGGAGAUGAUUUCAUGGCCAAAGGAAGCUCGUUCCAAAGUCUAGGGGCUGCCACCGCAAAAGCUCUAUCACCUUGAGUUUUAAGGCGAGAUCGAGGAACCGACAGACACAGCUGAUCACCAGAGCGGAGAGACCUUGAAGGUUGAUGCAAACUUAUAAAAUCAGAGAUGUACUCUGGUGCUAGACCAUGGAGAGCCUUAAAUACAUAUAGCAACACUUUGUACUGGAUUCUGUAUUGGAUCGGUAACCAAUGUAGGGAGAUCAAUACUGGGGUAAUAUGGUCUCUUUUCCUGGUUCCAGUUAAACGUCUAGCAGCUGAAUUCUGGACCAGCUGCAGGCGAGAGAGAGAGGCCUAAUCACACCCAGAUACAAAGCAUUACAAUAGUCCAAACGAGAAGACACAAAGGCAUGCACAACCUUCUCCAAAUCAUCAAAAGAGAGGAUGGACUUCAACUUUGCUAUAGAUCUAAGAUGGAAAAAGCUAUUUUUAACAACGGCAUUUAUUUGCCGAUCAAACUUGAGCUCAGUGUCAAAAAUAACUCCCAGGUUUUUCACAUAGGAAGGGUUUUUUCCCUGGAAGCAAUGACAAGAUGCCAUCUAAAUUUACCCCACAUCCCCUUUGAACAAAAAGAAUAAACUGUUUGCCAACCAACACUUCACAUCGGCCAUGCAUUUAUACAGAGACUCAAAAGAGGGUUGCUUCCCAUGUUUAAUAGGAGAUUCAUGAGCAUGCAGAUGGUAGUGUAUGCCAUGCUUACCAAAAGAUCUUUCCUAAUGGAAGCAUGUAAAGGGAGAAUAAAACAGGUCCCAAGAUGGAGCCCUGAGGAACCCCACAUGUUAAAGGAACAACUGAUGAAGAACAGUUCUCUAAAUACAACAAUAAUAAAGAAACACCUUCAGCAGCUCAUACCAACAAGCCACCACAAGAAAAUUCACAUUAAUCCUGAUUUGCUCGCAACUACUUCUGGAGAAUGGGAUUUUGUAGAGAAAACGGCUUGUGUUUGCUACAGACAACAGUAAAAUAAAUAAAAACAGUCACACAAAUUCAUUCCUCAACACCCACA
Molecule: long non-coding RNA, 3782 nt
Organism: Myxocyprinus asiaticus (Chinese sucker)
Lineage: Eukaryota; Metazoa; Chordata; Actinopteri; Cypriniformes; Catostomidae
Exons: 3
Source: RefSeq, a predicted model, not a curated record